RNAcentral lists this ribosomal RNA (1180 nucleotides) under Lactiplantibacillus plantarum. Its description in RNAcentral is "bacterial SSU rRNA". It matches the Rfam family "Bacterial small subunit ribosomal RNA", at positions 109 to 1279 of the family's 1533-position model. Lineage: Bacteria; Bacillati; Bacillota; Bacilli; Lactobacillales; Lactobacillaceae. The record is from RNAcentral.
AGUAACACGUGGGAAACCUGCCCAGAAGCGGGGGAUAACACCUGGAAACAGAUGCUAAUACCGCAUAACAACUUGGACCGCAUGGUCCGAGUUUGAAAGAUGGCUUCGGCUAUCACUUUUGGAUGGUCCCGCGGCGUAUUAGCUAGAUGGUGGGGUAACGGCUCACCAUGGCAAUGAUACGUAGCCGACCUGAGAGGGUAAUCGGCCACAUUGGGACUGAGACACGGCCCAAACUCCUACGGGAGGCAGCAGUAGGGAAUCUUCCACAAUGGACGAAAGUCUGAUGAGCAACGCCGCGUGAGUGAAGAUGGGUUCGGCUCGUAUAACUCUGUUGUUAAAGAAGAACAUAUCUGAGAGUAACUGUUCAGGUAUGACGGUAUUUAACCAGAAAGCCACGGCUAACUACGUGCCAGCAGCCGCGGUAAUACGUAGGUGGCAAGCGUUGUCCGGAUUUAUUGGGCGUAAAGCGAGCGCAGGCGGUUUUUUAAGUCUGAUGUGACAGCUUUCGGCUCAACCGAAGAAGUGCAUCGGAAACUGGGAAACUUGAGUGCAGAAGAGGACAGUGGAACUCCAUGUGUAGCGGUGAAAUGCGUAGAUAUAUGGAAGAACACCAGUGGCGAAGGCGGCUGUCUGGUCUGUAACUGACGCUGAGGCUCGAAAGUAUGGGUAGCAAACAGGAUUAGAUACCCUGGUAGUCCAUACCGUAAACGAUGAAUGCUAAGUGUUGGAGGGUUUCCGCCCUUCAGUGCUGCAGCUAACGCAUUAAGCAUUCCGCCUGGGGAGUACGGCCGCAAGGCUGAAACUCAAAGGAAUUGACGGGGGCCCGCACAAGCGGUGGAGCAUGUGGUUUAAUUCGAAGCUACGCGAAGAACCUUACCAGGUCUUGACAUACUAUGCAAAUCUAAGAGAUUAGACGUUCCCUUCGGGGACAUGGAUACAGGUGGUGCAUGGUUGUCGUCAGCUCGUGUCGUGAGAUGUUGGGUUAAGUCCCGCAACGAGCGCAACCCUUAUUAUCAGUUGCCAGCAUUAAGUUGGGCACUCUGGUGAGACUGCCGGUGACAAACCGGAGGAAGGUGGGGAUGACGUCAAAUCAUCAUGCCCCUUAUGACCUGGGCUACACACGUGCUACAAUGGAUGGUACAACGAGUUGCGAACUCGUGAGAGUAAGCUAAUCUCUUAA